RNAcentral lists this ribosomal RNA (490 nucleotides) under uncultured bacterium. RNAcentral's name for it is "partial 16S ribosomal RNA". It matches the Rfam family "Bacterial small subunit ribosomal RNA", at positions 30 to 507 of the family's 1533-position model. The record is from RNAcentral.
AUUGAACGCUGGCGGCAGGCCUAACACAUGCAAGUCGAACGGUAACAGGAAGAAGCUUGCUUCUUUGCUGACGAGUGGCGGACGGGUGAGUAAUGUCUGGGAAACUGCCUGAUGGAGGGGGAUAACUACUGGAAACGGUAGCUAAUACCGCAUAACGUCGCAAGACCAAAGAGGGGGACCUUCGGGCCCCUUGCCAUCGGAUGUGCCCCGAUGGGAUUAGCUAGUAGGGGGGGGAACGGCCCACCAAGACGACGAGCCCUAGCUGCUCUGAGAGGAUGAUCCGCCACACUGGAGCUGGGGCACGGUCCAGACUCGUACGGGAGUCAGAAGUGGGGAAUAUUGGACGAUGGGCGAAUGCCUGAUGCUGGCAUACCGCGUGGGGGAGGAAGGACUUCGGGUUUUAAAGUCCUUUUGUUGGGAAAGAAAAGCAGCAGGUUAAGCACCCGCUGUUCUGACGGUACCAAAAGAAUAAGCACCGGCUAACUUCGUG